GAUGAACGCUGGCGGCGUGCCUAAUACAUGCAAGUCGAGCGAACGGACGAGAGGCUUGCUUCUCUGAUGUUAGCGGCGGACGGGUGAGUAACACGUGGAUAACCUACCUAUAAGACUGGGAUAACUUCGGGAAACCGGAGCUAAUACCGGAUAAUAUUUUGAACCGCAUGGUUCAAUAGUGAAAGACGGUCUUGCUGUCACUUAUAGAUGGAUCCGCGCUGCAUUAGCUAGUUGGUAAGGUAACGGCUUACCAAGGCAACGAUGCAUAGCCGACCUGAGAGGGUGAUCGGCCACACUGGAACUGAGACACGGUCCAGACUCCUACGGGAGGCAGCAGUAGGGAAUCUUCCGCAAUGGGCGAAAGCCUGACGGAGCAACGCCGCGUGAGUGAUGAAGGUCUUCGGAUCGUAAAACUCUGUUAUUAGGGAAGAACAUAUGUGUAAGUAACUGUGCACAUCUUGACGGUACCUAAUCAGAAAGCCACGGCUAACUACGUG
Molecule: ribosomal RNA, 497 nt
Filed under: uncultured bacterium
Lineage: Bacteria
Description: partial 16S ribosomal RNA
Rfam family: Bacterial small subunit ribosomal RNA
Source: RNAcentral